Long non-coding RNA from Dreissena polymorpha, 919 nucleotides. RefSeq lists it as uncharacterized. The record is from RefSeq and is a predicted model, not a curated record. The transcript has 3 exons. NCBI's taxonomy places the organism in Eukaryota, Metazoa, Mollusca, Bivalvia, Myida, Dreissenidae.
CUAAGGCUUAAAGCUCACCGCGCACUAGUAUAUUAUCUUGAAAAUAAACAUGCUAUGUCAUCAAAAAUGCAUGUGUCGCAUUUAUGCCACAAUAAACUUUGUGUCAACAUCAAGUACUUAAGUUAUGAGCCUCAAAGCAUUAACAAUAACAGACAAAUAUGUGGUCAUUAAGGUUCCCUAUGCACUUGAAAAUGUUUCUAAGCUGUGUCUUGUUUACAAUCAUGUUCAAAUAGUCGGAUAUAUUUGCACUGUUUCCAAUUGUAUCACUUUGAUUUUCAGACUGUGGUACUGUUUGACGUGGUCGCAGUUUAAAAGAGAGACCGAGUGGAUCCUGAGAACGGUUACACGCAUUCAAGACACCGUUCGCUACAGAAUCACCCAAUCGCACGACACUUUCCAGACUGUGGUACUGUUUGACGUGGCCGCAGUUUAAAAGGGAGACCGAGUGGAUCCUGAGAACGGUUACACGCAUUCAAGACAUCGUUCGCUACAGAAACACCCAAUCGCACGACACUUUCCAGACUGUGGUACUGUUUGACGUGGUCGCAGUUUAAAAGGGAGACCGAGUGGAUCCUGAGAACGGUUACACGCAUUCAAGAUAUCGUUCGCUACAGAAUCACCCAAUCGCACGACACUUUCCAGGUCAGGGUCUGAAUUCAACGGAAUAGAAUCUUGAAAUUGUUUCUCUACACUGGGCACAUGACUGCUGUUAUAGUUUUUUGAAAUACUCCUUUUUUGAAAAGUUCACCUUUGUUUUUCCUAGUGCGAUUGUUUUUUUAACUGUGCUGAGAUUUCUUAUGGAGUGAUCUCAUUUUGAAUGGUAUUUUAAUGAAUGAAUAUCAAUAUUUGGUGCAUGUAUUAUGUAAUCAUAGGAGAAUAUACAUCUGUAAGACUGAUUGAUAUUGUCAAUAAUCAUUUU